This is a long non-coding RNA of Hippocampus comes (tiger tail seahorse), 977 nucleotides long. RefSeq lists it as uncharacterized. The transcript is spliced from 3 exons. Lineage: Eukaryota; Metazoa; Chordata; Actinopteri; Syngnathiformes; Syngnathidae. The record is from RefSeq and is a predicted model, not a curated record.
AGCCCGUGAGAAGGUGAGCACGAGCGAUGCCUGGUUCUUGCCAAUUUUGAGUAAUUGGACAAAGUUCUGAUCAAAAGGUCGUCACAUAGGUCCACAAAAAUACACUGUUCUAAAUUACCUUAGUCUAUUGAUUGAAAUGUAAGUGACCUAAAUGCUUCAUUUUCAGCUCCCUGUGGGAUAGUGAAUCACUGUCCACCCUUUCAUUGUUUGUGUCUGCAUAACCCUCAAUGUAUAAUUCACAUAAAUUGAUCUCAUAUGGUAAUUCUUUGCACCAAGGGUCAAAAAUGUACAACCAGUACAUCUUGGUAUUCCACCCAAUUGGGAAUACCCCAAAAGUUAUUUCUUUACCAUAGUGUAUCUCCAUUGCAUGACAGUAAGCGCCUUGAACCGACUCUAAUGGAGACAGUCAUUUUGCUCCAGUUUCAUCUAUUCCAGAUCUCCUGCAUAUGGGGCAGGGAGGGACAAGAGGCAAAGCGAAGGAGGCUGACUCGAGAUAUAGGAGGAAAAUCAGUCGUCCCCUUUAGGCAUCUGAACAAGUCUGAACUGUUCUUCUGCCGCCCCUGAUGUUGCUGCUUGUGUUGAGGCCACACCAGGCAAAGCUGUCCCAGUAACCAAAAAAAAAAAAAAAAAACCUUUGCAGUUUUGACACUCUCCUGUAGGGAUGCAGGACGCCAACUGCUGAGCUCCAAACGUGUUGUAGGAUACGGUGUGACGCACAGCAGCCCAAAGCUGUGGAGCGCUGCAGAAACUGAGUUGGGAGCGUUGGCUGGAUAUGCUACAGGUGGAGAGGCACAGAGCAGCAGGCUGUAGCUCGGUACACGGAGCAAAGAACCUCAGGUUGUAAAUAUGAGCCGCUGGAUUUUCACCGUAUCGUUGCUGCUGCUGCUGUCAUUCAUGACACACGCUGAAGCUCAGGGCAGAUGUGAUCAUGUACAAGCGGCAGACAUUGUUUUUCUGGUGGACGGAUCUUCCAGUAU